Long non-coding RNA from Toxorhynchites rutilus septentrionalis, 705 nucleotides. RefSeq lists it as uncharacterized. The transcript is spliced from 2 exons. The record is from RefSeq and is a predicted model, not a curated record. NCBI's taxonomy places the organism in Eukaryota, Metazoa, Arthropoda, Insecta, Diptera, Culicidae.
AUUAAAUUGGAUAUUUAGCCCGGUAGGUGCGUUUUAUACCCAUCUCCUCUAUAACAUACGCACCAACUGAAUCAACAUACAUCGACUAGCACAUUCAUCCGAAUAUUUGGAUACUAAAAGAAUGUCUGUCAACGCUGUACGGAAAAAAACUCAUCACGCAAAACCAUCAUCUCUUGGUAGAAUGAGCGCUGUUCGUGGAGAAAUUUUUUUUCUAUCAAGGCAAUUCGUUCAAGUCGAUGUAUACAAUGGGAAUAAUUGUUUUGCGUGAGCUACGCAGUCGAUCGACAACAAGAAAAAAAUGGAUAACAGUAUUGGGGCGAUGAGUCAUCCCGCCAAAUAUUCAAUCAUACAAAAACAUAUUCAAAAGCAUUGAGUGUUACUUGGCCAGUGCACUCGAGUGAAAUGUCCGAAAAUAGACCGUCCCAACCAUCGCCGUGUAUGAUUGGACCUGACGCUUUGCCUCCUCGGGAUGGAGCAGCCGAACCACCACCAGCACGACCGGAGACAGCGGAUGCAGGACCAGUACCACCGCCGCCAGUCCCGUGUUUGGUCGGACCAAUGGCUCUUCCACCGGAACUCAGAAAUGAUCCAAACGUGACCGGUAGUAGUAAAUAAUGCAUAUACAUAUGGAAACUACCGGGAUACCAGAAAACAUCAUAAUAAAUGAAAAUAAAUGUCCAAACUUCGAAACGAUUAUUUCCUUAA